RNAcentral lists this ribosomal RNA (1972 nucleotides) under human gut metagenome. RNAcentral describes it as "bacterial LSU rRNA". It matches the Rfam family "Bacterial large subunit ribosomal RNA", at positions 3 to 1984 of the family's 2925-position model. The record is from RNAcentral.
UCAAGUAAGUAAGGGCGUACGGCGGAUGCCUUGGCCAUAUCAGCCGAAGAAGGACGCGAUAAGCUGCGAUAAGCUGCGGUGAGGUGCAAGUAACCUUUGACCCGCAGAUCUCCGAAUGGGGAAACCCGGCAGCAGUAGUGCUGUCAUCCUCUAUGAGGAAGGGCACCCGGUGAACUGAAACAUCUAAGUAGCCGGAGGAAAAGGAAUCAACAGAGAUACCCCUAGUAGCGGCGAGCGAACGGGGCAGAGCCCAAACCGGAAUGGGAAACCAAUCCGGGGUUGUGGACUGCUAUCAAAUGCAUGAGUGAAGCAGAAUGAGCUGGGAAGCUCAGCCAGAGAGAGUGAGAGCCUCGUAGGCGUAAGCAAAUGCAUGGAGCAGGAUCCGGAGUACCACGGGACACGAGAAACCCUGUGGGAAGCUGGGGGGACCACCCUCCAAGGCGAAACACUGAUAUGGACCGAUAGCGCAUAGUACCGUGAGGGAAAGGUGAAAAGAACCCCGGGAGGGGAAUGAAAGAGAACCUGAAACCGUAUGUCUACAAGCAGUCGAAGACCUUUAUAUGGUCGACGGCGUGCCUAUUGAAGAAUGAACCGGCGAGUUACUUCAGCUAGCGAGGUUAAGCAGAAAAUGCGGAGCCGCAGCGAAAGCGAGUCUGAACAGGGCGUAUAGUUAGUUGGAGUAGACCCGAAACCACAGUGAUCUACCCAUGUCCAGGUUGAAGCACAGGUAAAAAUGUGUGGAGGACCGAACCAGUGAGCGUUGAAAAGCUUUUGGAUGAGAUGUGGGUAGGGGUGAAAUGCCAAUCGAACGUGGAGAUAGCUGGUUCUCCCCGAAAUAGCUUUAGGGCUAGCCUCAUGGCGAGAGUACAGGCGGUAGAGCACUGAACGGGGUAGGGGCCUAUCCGGCUACUGAACCUAAUCAAACUGCGAAUGGCUGUACUUAUCCAUGGGAGUCAGACUGUGAGUAAUAAGGCCCAUAGUCAAGAGGGAAACAGCCCAGACCAACAGCUAAGGUCCCCAAUGCCGUACUAAGUGGCGAAGGAUGUGGAAUUUCGAAAACAACCAGGAUGUUGGCUCAGAAGCAGCCACCAUUAAAAGAGUGCGUAAUAGCUCACUGGUCGAGAGACUCUGCGCCGAAGAUGUCCGGGGCUAAAGUACGGAACCGAAGCUUUGGCAAUUAACAUAAGUUAAUUGGGUAGGGGAGCGUUCCUGCAUGGGAGAAGCCUGACCGGAAGGACAGGUGGACAGGCAGGAAGAGAGAAUGCCGGUAUGAGUAGCGAAAAGAAGGGUGAGAAUCCCUUCCACCGAAAGCCUAAGGGUUCCUGGGCAACGAUCGUCGUCCCAGGGUAAGUCGGGACCUAAUCCGAGGCGGAGACGCGUAGGAGAUGGACAACAGGUUGAAAUUCCUGUACUGGCUGAGGCCGUUUGAGCGAAGGAGUGACACAGGAAGGAAGGCGCGCGUGCGAUUGGAAGAGCACGUCCAAGCAGGUAGGUCGGGAGACAGGCAAAUCCGUUUCCCAUAAGGCCGAGAUGCGAUGGGGAGCUUCUGGAGACAGAAGCGAAGGGGCUGGCACUAAACUGUCGAGAAAAGCUUCUAGUGAGGACUCAGGCACCCGUACCGAAACCGACACAGGUAGGCAGGAUGAGAAUUCUAAGGUGCGCGGGAAAACCCUCGUUAAGGAACUCGGCAAAAUAUAUCCGUAACUUCGGGAAAAGGAUAACCCAGCGUACGUGAAGUGCAGAAGCGCAUGGAGCGGAGAUGGGUGGCAGAAGAGAGGCCCAAGCGACUGUUUACCACAAACACAGGCGUCUGCUAAAGCGAAAGCUGAUGUAUAGAUGCUGACACCUGCCCGGUGCUGGAAGGUUAAGAGGAAGUGUUAGCGCAAGCGAAGCAGUGAAUUGAAGCCCCAGUAAACGGCGGCCGUAACUAUAACGGUCCUAAGGUAGCGAAAUUCCUUGUCGGGUAAGUUCC